AUGCAGCAGGUUUCCAUCACCCACUGGAUCUUUGUUCCGCUAAAGUCCCUUCAGAUUUCUAAAAGAAAUCAAUCAAACUAGUAAUAUCUGUUUGUGGGGAAAUGUCUGGCCUCAUAAUUUAUCACAUUUUAUUUUAGAAGUUUAAUUAGAUGGAUCACAUCAAUGGUAAACCAUCAGUUACAAGUGUGAGAUGCAAAACGGUAACAACAGGUCUAAGCUCUGCGUGUGUCAUUCGGUUACUCGAUCUUUCAGCUGUGAGAAAUGACUGGCAGGGGGACAGUCACACCUCACUGUGGUCCCCAAAGAGCACUGUUAUGACUGAGGCCCAAUCCACCAUGACAGGCCAGGCAUGACCUUUAGACCUACAAGACAUUACUGGAGCAUCUGAGCAUGUCAGCAUCGGAGGGUGGAGGCUAGGAGAAUGUUUGGGGUGAUGAAAGGGAGGGUGAUGUGGAGAGACAUUCAAGGCUGGUGUGGGGGAUGGCUGCAGGGCGUGGUGUCUUUGGGGGACUCACAGAGGUCAAGCGGUACUGGUGGUUAUUAAAGGAGACCCCAUAAAAUGCUCUCCGGGUCCAUGAUUACACUGUCAGGCGGUAAGAAAGAGGAUGCAUGGGGGAGGAGAUGCAGGGGGAUAUCUCAAAGAUAAAAGCCACAUUUUUCUCUGAAGAGGUCCUUUGAACAUAAGUGUGAAGUGGAAUUUGUGAUUUAAGUCCAUAAUUCACACAACUGGCAGAUAUUUAAGGCAGUAAAAUGGUAUUCCAGUCAUCCAAUAUCCAAUAUACAGAAGCAGUGGAUAGAUGGAUUGGGCAGAUGAAAGUGUGACACAUUUCCCCUUCAACGGUCGCGAAGGACGUUGAUAGGCAACCAAACCCUCGGGCAAUGGACUGCUGAUUUUUUUUCCCUCUGUGAAAUAUAAAUGCAUGCAAUCUAUUCUGCUGUCAAAGGCCCAUGAUCCGCGGAAGGCAGUUUGACACGGUCACUGGGAAAGGGCUUUAGGCAAACAACCACUGAGACGCCAUAUGGACAUGGAGUUAAAGAAUUAUUUCACACUGCUACAAUAUGGGACAAUGAGAUGAAAUUCAAACCAAGAUUAGCUUUCAGUUCAUUAACUGCACGUGUUAAUCCGUCAGGAAUGAUUAGGGCAGCAAAGGCAGCGCAGUUAUUAUCAGUUGAAUAGAAUCAAAACAGAGAUUUUAACUGCAACUUGUUGACUACAUUGUUUCGCCAAAUGUUGUGACCGCACCUCCAUGUGUUUAAAAACCUUGCUAAAUGCAAACGAGUAGCAGUGGAUGAUAGAAAAAAGUUGACUGAUAGACAUUUUCAAACAAUUGUAUUUGUUGUUAAAAAAAGAAAAUAACAUGACCUGCAUCCUAGAAACCCAAACCCGGGGGAAAACUGGUGAGUGGGCUGUGGAUUUCUUUGAAAGGCAUAGUUUGACAUUGUGGCAAAUACACUUUGAUUCUUCUCAUGCCAUUGUUGUAUGUUUCCAUUCAAGGUUAAGAUGUAUCCAGGAGACUGUCAACUUACUGUACCUCCAGUGUGUGUUUUAGUUUUUGCUUUCUCACUCCUAAUCACUCGUUAUCCAGAAGUGAGCUGUGCAGUAUUCUAGUAAGUGUCACGGAGUUCACCGAGGAGAAUGUGAUAUGUCAGAGUCUGGCUGUGUGGUGGCACUGUGGGACAGGCUAGUGUUUCUGCAGAUGUGAAGGGGAGUUUGAGGACAGUUGGGUUUCUGGUAGAAAACAGGCUAUAAAUACAGAGAGCGCCAACAGAAACCCAGACCGAGUCCACUGGGAGAGAGACUCAACCUGCACAUAGCACUUACAGAGACACUGCUGUAGCACUGAGGCCGGAGAAGCUUCGUUGUUUAACUUUAUUAGGAUUGUAUCCAGUGCUCAGGAAAUUUUAUGCACCUUUUACAUUAUUUAUAGACUCUGCUCAUGCUACAUUGUAGCCACACCACAUUUUCUAGCUUGAUUUAAACACAGAAUUGUGGUCCAGUAAAAUCCAUUUGGCAUCACAGUGGUAUACCAGAACAGAUUCAGGACCACUUUUAACAAAUGGUUUCAUACUUGUAAGCGUGGGAGACUGAUGGCAACAGCUUAGGCACACCGUGUUUCAGACUACGUGACUUAGAAAUUACAAUGAAGGCCAACCACUGGUGGUAUUUUAAUGAUUAUGCAUUUUGGUCACCCCAGGGAGCGGUGCAUUUAUGCUUAUGGGCCAGCAUGUACAGGCGGGGGAAUAGAGGGGGUUUGAUGCUGAAUUGACUUUCUUAUAGCACACCCUCUGAAAUCAUCAGUCAUUUUGACUGGCAGUGUUUUGUGUUAAUGUUUAUUCCUGUUCAGUAGCCUUCUGCCUCACGGAUGUUCCACCCAUGGACUGUAUUCCACCAGCGUGUUCCUUCCUGCCUGGAAAUUAUGUUGUGAUCUCUCACUGCCAAAGGAGACAGUGCCACUCAGUGAUGCGUGUGUCCUCUCUUUUCCAAUGGCGGCAGGGGUACAGCUGUAACUGAAUCCUCUAACCUGUGCUAGGCAGCAGUGCACAAGCAUCCUUUACCAACACACACAGUGUGUAAUUUCCUAAUAUCGUUCUGAAUCUGGCUCGAGAUAAGACAGUAACAGCAGAGUCAACAUCAAUCUUCAGGGUUGAGUGUCUCUGUUGGUGGUUUUUACUUGAAUGAAAACAUCUCCGUGCAUCCCUCUAUAAACAUUAUUAAAAAGGAAGUGCAUCUCAA
Long non-coding RNA from Scophthalmus maximus (turbot), 2734 nucleotides. RefSeq lists it as uncharacterized. The transcript is spliced from 2 exons. The record is from RefSeq and is a predicted model, not a curated record. NCBI's taxonomy places the organism in Eukaryota, Metazoa, Chordata, Actinopteri, Pleuronectiformes, Scophthalmidae.